RNAcentral lists this ribosomal RNA (303 nucleotides) under uncultured bacterium. Its description in RNAcentral is "partial 16S ribosomal RNA". It matches the Rfam family "Bacterial small subunit ribosomal RNA", at positions 507 to 807 of the family's 1533-position model. The record is from RNAcentral.
AGCAGUCGCCGCGGUAAUACGGAGGGUGCAAGCGUUAUCCGGAUUUAUUGGGUUUAAAGGGUCCGUAGGCGGAUCUGUAAGUCAGUGGUGAAAUCUCACAGCUUAACUGUGAAACUGCCAUUGAUACUGCAGGUCUUGAGUAAAUUUGAAGUGGCUGGAAUAAGUAGUGUAGCGGUGAAAUGCAUAGAUAUUACUUAGAACACCAAUUGCGAAGGCAGGUCACUAAGAUUUAACUGACGCUGAUGGACGAAAGCGUGGGGAGCGAACAGGAUUAGAUACCCCGGUAGUCCCUGUCUCUUAUAC